GAACCUACGGGGGGCAGCAGUGGGGAAUAUUGCACAAUGGGGGAAACCCUGAUGCAGCGACGCCGCGUGAAGGAAGAAGUAUUUCGGUAUGUAAACUUCUAUCAGCAGGGAAGAAAAUGACGGUACCUGACCAAGAAGCCCCGGCUAACUACGUGCCAGCAGCCGCGGUAAUACGUAGGGGGCAAGCGUUAUCCGGAUUUACUGGGUGUAAAGGGAGCGAAGACGGCAGGGCAAGUCUGGAGUGAAAGGCGGGGGCUCAACCCCCGGACCG
This 271-nucleotide ribosomal RNA is filed under the name uncultured bacterium. RNAcentral describes it as "partial 16S ribosomal RNA". It matches the Rfam family "Bacterial small subunit ribosomal RNA", at positions 333 to 623 of the family's 1533-position model. The record is from RNAcentral.